Leptonychotes weddellii (Weddell seal) is the source of this 1306-nucleotide non-coding RNA. NCBI's taxonomy places the organism in Eukaryota, Metazoa, Chordata, Mammalia, Carnivora, Phocidae. The record is from RefSeq and is a predicted model, not a curated record.
CGGGAGCCCUCGUGUCGGGCCGUCAGUCGGUCCUCAAGCAGCGCCGAGGGACAUGGCCUUCAUUUGGAGAAGUUGUUUGCUUUUCUGAGCCUUUCAGACUGCUGCUUCAGAGUCCCUGGAGGAGACCUGGUGUCUCCUGGAAUGAUCAGCGAAGUCAGCUUAAACGGCCGCCUCUGAGGGAAACUCAGGGUUUGGAGAAGGGAGAAGGAGAGUCAUCUUCUACUCCAUUAUCUUCUUGGAACGAGGAUAGGAUGUGGAUACAAAUCAGGCCUUUGGAGGGAAAGAGAUCUUGGUUCAGAAUCACCUACCUCAUCAUGACAUCUGUAUGACCUUAGGAACUGUCACGUGCUGUGUGAUCGAAGACACGCCACCCAACUCCUGAGCUGCAUGUGUCCCCUGUGAUAUGGGGGGAGCAGACUUGCUUCCUUGAACCUUCCAACGUGGUAUGACUCAAUGCUGACGCUGAACUCCCUUGGAGCCUGUAGGAGGCACAGGCUUUGAAGUCUGGCAGACAGACAGACUGACAGACUGCUUCAGAGCUUGCUGUCUUUUUGUUUUUUUCGGACCUUUACAGGAUUGUCUCAGAGGGUCCCGGGUAUUUUUGAAAACUUCACAGCAGUUUGGCUGAAGGGCAGUUUUGCCUGCAAUCAGACAUCAGCUGUGAGCAGACCUCUGCAGUGACAGAAAAUGGAUGAGACCAAGAUUUAGGCCUGUAAUUUCCAAACUCCAGGGGCCCAUUUGAUAGAACCGGUUUGCUUUGGCACGUUGAAUUUUUGUUGCCUAAAUAACAGCGCUCCCUCCAAGAACUGGGAUGGCUUAUUGGUCCCUUUGCCAUUUUGCUGCUCUCGAGGUAUGGCUCAAGCAUUUCAGACAGGCCUGCCCCCCUGGCCCCUGGCUCAGGGGCCUGCAGCUGUGUCAAUAGGCCUUUGAAGUUCACACACCCCAGCUGACUGGUCAGCAGCCCCUGGGAUCAUCUUCACCACGCUUGUCACAGGAAAUCAGGAAAGGUAUGUGGAAGCUGGUGUUGCCUGAGAGGCGGGGGAAGGAAGAUGAUGGGGUCCUUGAUGAGAAUAUGGGAGGAAUUUACCCAAAUUCAGUGGUCCAAUUCCAUUAGCGGGGUUUCUUCCUCAUUGCUCUUUCUCCUUCUGGCUCAAAAGCCAUACAUUGAGCUGGUUUAUUUUUAACCUGAUCCAAGUAUGUGCCAACUAGUGCUUUGGGGGGGGCUUUAACACAAUGACAGUAUGUUGUGAUGUUGGUGCUUCUGCAAGAUCUGGAAAGAGUUUCUGAAUCAUCAAAACGUGAAUAU